Long non-coding RNA from Cucumis sativus (cucumber), 698 nucleotides. RefSeq lists it as uncharacterized. The transcript is spliced from 2 exons. NCBI's taxonomy places the organism in Eukaryota, Viridiplantae, Streptophyta, Magnoliopsida, Cucurbitales, Cucurbitaceae. The record is from RefSeq and is a predicted model, not a curated record.
UAAAUACGGAAUUUCCAAUGGAUUUCGCAACUGUAUAUAUAUAUAUAUAUAUAUAAUGUGCUGUGUAUUUAUCUAUCUAUCUAUAUAUAUAUACAUAUUUAGGGAGUCGUUGAUCCGAUUUCAGACACUAUUACGCGUUACCCGCUUUCUCUAGAAAAUAUAAAGGAGUGUCAUUUUAUGGAUACAACAGUACCUGGAAGAAAUGCUCCUGAGGAAGUGACUCGUGAGUCGCUUAUCUCCAUUUCUUACGAGGAACCAGAAACAGUUCUCUCUUCAAACCAACCAUCUGAAAAGAUUAGUAGGGAAAACAUCAAUCUGGCCAACGGGAUAAACCACAAUCAGAUGGAAGGGAAAGAAUACGAUGGAGAUGAGAAAUUCAGAUCUGAGCUGAUUGCAAUUUCCUUCCUUGAGUCGCUACCUGAAACUGGAAGUGUACCUGUGGCCGAACUCAAGGGUUAGUAGUGCCUGGAUGUCAGUUAUAAUAGUAUACCUUAUGUAAAAUUGAUACGAAACUAAGUUCAUGUACGCGUUGUUUGGACUGUAGAGCAAUGUGGUCCGUGUUCCUUUGUUUUUGUAACAUAAACUCUUUGCACGGGUUGUUUGUUUGUCUGUACUAAUCUUGUGGAAACUCAUCGUUGUAUGAGCCCAAUGAAUGAACUUGCGAACCCCUUGGUAUACUCAGCAUUCUCUUCCUUUUA